GGGGGUACCGGUACAGAGUCAAUGUGGAGGCUAUAUACAGGGUGUUACGGUACAGAGUCAAUGUGGAGGCUAUAUACAGGGUGUUACGGUACCUAGUCAAUGUGGAGGCUAUAUACAGGGGGUACAGGUACCGAGUCAAAGUGGAGGCUAUAUACAGGGUGUUACGGUACCAAGUCAAUGUGGAGGCUAUAUACAGGGUGUUACGGUACCUAGUCAAUGUGGAGGCUAUAUACAGGGGGUACAGGUACCGAGUCAAUGUGGAGGCUAUAUACAGGGUGUUACGGUACCUAGUCAAUGUGGAGGCUAUAUACAGGGGGUACAGGUACCGAGUCAAAGUGGAGGCUAUACACAGGGUGUUACGGUACCAAGUCAAUGUGGAGGCUAUAUACAGGGUGUUACGGUACAGAGUCAAUGUGGAGGCUAUAUACAGGGGGUACCGGUACAGAGUCAAUGUGGAGGCUAUAUACAGGGGGUACAGGUACCGAGUCAAUGUAGAGGCUAUAUACAGGGGGUACAGGUACCGAGUCAAUGUAGAGGCUAUAUACAGGGGG
Long non-coding RNA from Oncorhynchus tshawytscha (Chinook salmon), 551 nucleotides. NCBI's taxonomy places the organism in Eukaryota, Metazoa, Chordata, Actinopteri, Salmoniformes, Salmonidae. The record is from Ensembl.